RNAcentral lists this ribosomal RNA (841 nucleotides) under uncultured bacterium. RNAcentral describes it as "bacterial SSU rRNA". It matches the Rfam family "Bacterial small subunit ribosomal RNA", at positions 1 to 820 of the family's 1533-position model. The record is from RNAcentral.
GCUUAGAGUUUGAUCCUGGCUCAGAAUGAACGCUGGCGGCGUGCCUAAUACAUGCAAGUCGGACGAGAAAGAGUGCUUCGGUACUUGAGUAAAGUGGCGCACGGGUGAGUAACGCGUAAGUGAUCUACCCUUGAGUUUGGGAUAACAUCGCGAAAGCGGUGCUAAUACCGAAUAAGCUCCCGGAAUCGUAAGUAACCGAGAGAAAAGAUAGCCUAUCCAUGGAAGCUUUCACUGAAGGAUGAGCUUGCGUACCAUUAGUUUGUUGGUAGGGUAAAGGCCUACCAAGGCGAAGAUGGUUAGCUGGUCUGAGAGGACGAUCAGCCACACUGGAACUGAGACACGGUCCAGACUCCUACGGGAGGCAGCAGUAGGGAAUUUUGCGCAAUGGGGGCAACCCUGACGCAGCGACGCCGCGUGAGUGAAGAAGGCCUUCGGGUUGUAAAGCUCUGUCAGAAGGGACGAAUAAGUACGGUUAAAUAGGCCGAUAUGAUGACGGUACCUUCAAAGGAAGCACCGGCUAACUCUGUGCCAGCAGCCGCGGUAAUACAGAGGGUGCAAGCGUUAUUCGGAAUCACUGGGCUUAAAGCGCAUGUAGGUGGAGUAUCAAGUCUGAUGUGAAAUCCCGGAGCUCAACUUCGGAACUGCAUUAGAAACUGGUAUUCUUGAGUUUGGGAGAGGGAAGUGGAAUUCCAGGAGUAGAGGUGAAAUUCGUAGAUAUCUGGAGGAACACCGGAGGCGAAGGCGGCUUCCUGGCCCCACACUGACACUCAGAUGCGAAAGCGUGGGGAGCAAACAGGAUUAGAUACCCUGGUAGUCCACGCUGUAAACGAUGAUAACUAGC